UAGAUUCCGUUUCGAUUAACAUCCCUAACUCUGGACUUCACUACGUCUCCACUGUUCUUAUGGAGUUCCUAGCAUUCCAUUCUGAAAUAUGAAAAAGUAUCUCCUCCACCAUGAGGGCUCGAGGAAGCUUGUGGCUUGAGUAAAACCUGGACUGGUCUGCGCCAUCUGAACUAUUCUCUAUCCACUCUCAACGAACUGGACUGCGAGAUUCUACCCACUCCCACACUCUGGCCGAUACAGUCGCAAACCCCGGGACAGUGCACAACAGACUAGAUUGAGUUGUACCCACUCCCACUCUCCGGCUGAUUCGGUCGCAAAUACCGGAUGAAGUACUCUGGAUUGGGCUACUUGCACAGCACUUGAGUACUCAUGUUAAUAGGAGAUUUUAUAAUAAUUUGUAUUUAAAAUAAACAUUGUAAUUUUGUACUUACCUCUAACCCUCUGGUGUCUGUGUUGGUGUGGCCCGGGAUCCUAGAACCUGUAAGGGAAGAAAUGGGUUUAGUAAUUAGUGGUCGGCAGGAUCCCCUACCACACUACUCAGCACAAGUUGUCAGAUUAACCGAACCCUGGUAGAGCUGACAUUGUCCAUCCUUCUGUUGUUAACACAAUGCCUUGGUACAUGGGUUUACCAUGGUUUCCAAAAUAUGCAGGAAAAGAUGGCUAGAUUAAGUUUGUGCAAUGGUUAGAUCAAAUGGAAGCAAUGCUGCAGGCUCAAGAUCUCAGUACAAUACAACACCUAGACACAGGGAAGGUAGAAAGAAUUGGGAGGGAUGAGUAGACCUAUGUAGUUGCCUGUAUGUCUUUUGCCCACAGCCCCAGAGCCAAUUGAGCUGGCAGCUGAGCAGCCCACAGCACCAGGGUUAGGCCCAGAAGCAGAUAAGGUAGAGGAGAAACAAACCCUAGUUAGACGCUCUGCAAAACAAACUAGAGGUGAGAGGCCACUAAGGAAUAAAUACUGGUCUUUAACAUGGCUAAUCAGAACGACACCAAAAACAAAGGGGGGAGAAGAGUCACGGAGUGAACAGUAUUUUCAUAUUUAUUGUAUAUUGCAUGUGCUUUCUAUGGGCUUGAUUAUUUCUAUUGUAUUACAUGAUUGCGUGUGAUGACUAUUUGUUUGCAUGAACUUUCUUUGGACAUUGAACCGUUUCCUGAUGACACCUCCCACUGCCUUAACUACCUGCAAAGCCAUUUGCUAUCAGCAUUCCUACAGCCCUAUAAAAAGAGACUAUCAGACGCAUCCGAGGGCUCUUAGAUUUGGGGGUAGAAACCCUGUCGACCGCCUCCUUCCUGGCGGGCAGCCACCUCCUGCAGCAGCGCAUCAUCGUCUACAGUCAGUCCGACAGGUCCAGACAACCAACGACUUUGGAAGUCCGACUCUUCUGAUUGUGAUGGGCUUGUCUUCUUUCAUGAAAAGGGAAGUAAAAAUAAUCACACAAGUUGGUGUGAAUGUGAUCCAACGAUUGGUUAAGAUGGUGGUACUGAGGACCCCUGUCUGUAUCCCUGACCUAUACAGAUUGUUCCCUAGACUGGGUGGCGUACUUGUUGGUGAUUUGGAAGGUGAUACCGGAGACCGAGAGGUGAUUGAGGCGAGACGUAGGUGAGGCAUCUCUGAAGGACGGAUCCUUCGAAGAGCACCUGAACAGUAUCUGCAUGCCAUGCGGGCUCGGGGAAGCUCGUGACUGGAGAAAAAAACAGGACUGGAGUCUGCCAACUGAAAUAUUCUCUAGCCUUCCCAAAUGACUGGACUGAGUUUUUAGUUCCCACACCCCGUCAGAUUCGGUCGCAAACCCUGGAACAGCGCAUAACGGACUAGACUGAGUUCUAUGUUAAAAGAGAUUUUAUUAUUAUCAUUUGUAUUUCAAAUAAACAUUGUAAUUUUCUACUUU
Salvelinus namaycush (lake trout) is the source of this 1886-nucleotide long non-coding RNA. RefSeq lists it as uncharacterized. The record is from RefSeq and is a predicted model, not a curated record. The transcript has 3 exons. Lineage: Eukaryota; Metazoa; Chordata; Actinopteri; Salmoniformes; Salmonidae.